UUAUGGCCAUAUCACGUUGAAACACCGGUUCUCGUACGAUCAUCGAUGUUAAGCAACGUCGAGCCAGGGAUCUAAAUGGGUGACCCCUUGGAAAUACCAGUUGCUGUAAG
Non-coding RNA from Acanthosepion pharaonis, 110 nucleotides. NCBI's taxonomy places the organism in Eukaryota, Metazoa, Mollusca, Cephalopoda, Sepiida, Sepiidae. The record is from the annotation of a GenBank genome assembly.